GUACUGAGUUUUGAUCAAAUGCCAUAUCUACAAUAAGGAAGUUUCACUGCCUCAGUGAAAAUCAAUCUAAGGGACACAAAGUUUAUAUUUUUCGCUUCUGGGCAUUUAUUAUUUUCAUUCCAAAGUGAUGGGCUACUGUUAAAAUGAUGAAAUAAAACUAGUAAACUAAUGAGCUGAUAAAACCCUACCAGAUUAAACGAAACUAAAAAAAAAAGCAAAUAAGAGCGAUUGAAGAAAGAGAUGAAUACCUGAUUUGACAGCGAUAUAGAGAGAUGGAGUCGGUGCAAUUUGAAGCUUGAAUCAGGGCUUUUGGCGGUGAAGAAUCUGGGCUCAACUAAAUCUCCCACACACUAGAUUCUCUCUCCCAAACGUAUUUUAUUUUUAACUUU
Molecule: long non-coding RNA, 389 nt
Filed under: Citrus maxima (pomelo)
Lineage: Eukaryota; Viridiplantae; Streptophyta; Magnoliopsida; Sapindales; Rutaceae
Description: long non-coding RNA (CMAX_LNC002025)
Source: RNAcentral